Molecule: small nuclear RNA, 43 nt
Filed under: Cervus elaphus hippelaphus
Lineage: Eukaryota; Metazoa; Chordata; Mammalia; Artiodactyla; Cervidae
Source: RNAcentral
AUACUUUGGUUUCUCUUACUAUCAUAUAAAUCUUUCGCCUUUU